RNAcentral lists this ribosomal RNA (507 nucleotides) under uncultured bacterium. RNAcentral's name for it is "bacterial SSU rRNA". It matches the Rfam family "Bacterial small subunit ribosomal RNA", at positions 30 to 534 of the family's 1533-position model. The record is from RNAcentral.
AUUGAACGCUGGCGGUAUGCUUAACACAUGCAAGUCGAACGGUAACAGGCUUUCGGGCGCUGACGAGUGGCGGACGGGUGAGUAACGCGUAGGAAUCUGCCUUAUAGUGGGGGACAACGUGGGGAAACCCACGCUAAUACCGCAUACGCCCUACGGGGGAAAGCGGGGGAUCUUAGGACCUCGCGCUAUGAGAUGAGCCUGCGUUAGAUUAGCUAGUUGGUAGGGUAAAGGCCUACCAAGGCGACGAUCUAUAGCUGGUCUGAGAGGACGAUCAGCCACACUGGGACUGAGACACGGCCCAGACUCCUACGGGAGGCAGCAGUGGGGAAUAUUGGACAAUGGGCGCAAGCCUGAUCCAGCAAUACCGCGUGUGUGAAGAAGGCCCUAGGGUUGUAAACUGCUUUUGUACGGAACGAAAGACUCCUUCUAAUAAAGGGGUCCAUGACGGUACCGUAAGAAUAAGCACGGCUAACUACGUGCCAGCAGCCGACGGUAAAACGUAGCGUG